RNAcentral lists this long non-coding RNA (14677 nucleotides) under Vitis vinifera (wine grape). RNAcentral's name for it is "long non-coding RNA (VVIN_LNC007640)". The record is from RNAcentral. Lineage: Eukaryota; Viridiplantae; Streptophyta; Magnoliopsida; Vitales; Vitaceae.
CCUUUAACUUUUGUGCAUGUUCAUUGUAGAACUCAUCCUGUAAAGUUAGGAAAUUAGAAAGUUAGAAAAUGCAUGGCAUAAUAAGAACUAUAAAAUAAUGGAAAGCAGUAAGGCAAUCUUAACAGUAAAACUGCCAAGUUCAGGUGAAUGGUUAUCUUUCUUUAGGGGGAUGGAAACCAAGGUGUGAUCGUGGGCAAUACUCCAUUUGUGCGUAUUAGGCAUAGGCACAAUUCUGGUGAAGUUAGUCUUGCCUAUUUCUCUGAAUUUGUUUGGGCCAACUGCAGGAAUGGACCAAGCAUAAAAGCCACAAGAAUAGGCCAUUAGGAGUAAUAAUAAAUUAUUAAAUUAAAGAGAAGAGGGCUCGCAACGAGAUUGAGGAUGAAUCAAGUAGUGAGGCUUGUAGUUUUGCUAUAACAAUGGACUGAAUUUAUAGACAAGGAGCCUUGGAGCCUCUUGUGCUUGUUGCUUUUUACACCAUCGGAAGCUUUUCUCACGGCAAAUAGAAAUUUUUUAUAUUAGGAAUGCAACAGUAUUUUUAAAGCACUUUGAAAGAGAAAUAGCAAAAUUUAAAAGGCAUUUAAAAAAAACAAAAAUUAUAAAAUCACUUUAAUGCUUGCCAAGGAGAUAUUUAAUUGGUGAUUCUUUCAAAAGAAAAAUAUUUUAAAUAAAAAUAUUGUUAAAUGCACACCAAGAUAAUAGUCAUUGUCAAAUUUUAGAAGCACUUAAUGAUGCCCAAGUUAACAUUCAAUAAAAUAGAUACGAAAUAUCAAAUUUAAAAAAUCAAAAUAUCAAAUAAAUUUAAAUAUUAUAAAAUAGAAUUACGAAAUCAUUCCAAAGUACGUAACUUUUAAGAAAAUAAUAGGAAGAAAUCACUUCAAAUAUAAUUUUUAAUAAUUUUAGAAACUUUUUAGCAAAGAUAAUCCUAAUUUUUUUUCAAAGAAUUCAGUAAUUUUUCUAAUAAAUUAUGAUUAUAUUUUCAAAUAAUUAAAUAUAAAUUAAUUGAAAAUGAUUUUUUACUAAAAAAUUAUCCAUAAUAUCAUUAAAAUUUUAAAUAAAAUAUAAGUGAUUAAUCGGACUUUGAUUCUUGUUAAGUUUUCUUAUUGAAGCAUGUUGUCUCUUAUAAUUUAAACUAAAUACAAAUUUUCUUAAUAUGUUAAAAGUUUUCAAAGUUAAAACCGAAAAAAUCCAACAUUAAUUAAUAAAAAAUUAAUAUAAUAAUUGCAUGGAAAAAUAAAAAUAAAAACAAAAAAUAAGUCAGAUAUACUAAAUGGAUUUUGUGAAAGCUUUUAUUUUUAUUUUUAUUUUUAAAAAAUUAAUUAUCCAACGACCUUUUUUUUUUUUUUUUUUUUUUGAAAUUCUAGCGAAAAAAAAAAAAGUUAUAUAUACUAAUUAAUGGAUUUUGUGAAAACUUUUUUCUUUUAAAAAAAAAAUUAAUCAUCCAACGACCUUCUUUUUUUUUUUAAUUUUAGCCUUCAUUGACACCACAAUUAUGGGUAGCCUAUGUACUAAGCUACAUUAACUCAUCUUCUGAGUAGGUGAGAUAUCAUUUUCUCUUAUCUGCGAUUUGAAAAAGGGAGAGUUGGUCGGCUGAGCUAGAAUAAUUAUGGGAAAAGGUGGUCUCUUAUGAUAAUUAUUGGGGAGANNNNNNNNNNNNNNNNNNNNNNNNNNNNNNNNNNNNNNNNNNNNNNNNNNNNNNNNNNNNNNNNNNNNNNNNNNNUUCAAUUAAAACUUUUAAAAUUUAAAAUAUUUAAAGCAUUUCACUUGAUUUUUUUAUGGUGUGUGGGCUUCACAUUUAUGUAAUUAUUGACAUUCAAAUUUUAAAUCAAAAUUUUGGAUUUAACCCUUACAAUUAUUAUAUAUAAUGAUCCGUAUAAUUUUUUUUAUUUAAAUUUAUUAUUUAAAACAAAAAUACUUCUAAAACAUAUUUUCAAAAUAUCAUUUAUUGUUUUUUUUUUACAUUUUUUAUUUUUCUUCUAAUUUUUUAUUUUAUUAAGAAAAAAUAAGUUUAUAAUUAUAUAAUAAAAUGAUGAUUUUUUCAUAUAUAUAUAUAUAUAUAUUAAUUUUAAAUUGAUAAAAUUAUAUUUUUGUAUUAAAUUCAAUGAAGAUAAAAUAUUUAAUUUUUGAUUCAGAUUAUCUAAAAAGAAUAAGAAAAUGAUAAUCAUUUUUUAUUUUUUAUAAUAAAAUAAUUUUUUAAAAAUUUGUAUGAUUUUUCUUUCUUUCUUAAUUUUCAUAUAUCUAUCUAACUAUAUAUAUAUAUAUAAUUUGUAUGAUUUUUCUUUCUUUCUUAAUUUUCAUAUAUCUAUCUAACUAUAUAUAUAUAUAUAUAUAUAUUUCUCAAUGCAUCGAGUGGAUGAUGUUAAUACAUUUGAUAUGUUGAAUAUUAAUGAGGUAUAAAAAGUGAUCUUCAAGAUUAUUACUUUUAUUAUAAAAUAUAGGUAUAACAAAAAUAUGUUAUAAUUACAAUAUAAAUACACUUACAUUAUAAUACAUUACAAUAAAACCUAAUUAGGAAAAUUUUGAAUUUUUUUAUAAAAAUGAUAAUUUUGUAUGAUCAUAUCGCAUUUCACAACAAACUUAUAUUAUAUAUAAUUUUUGAAACCAAAUGAAAUACUAAUUUGAAUUCACGAGAAUCAUAGUUUUAUAUAUAUAUAUACAAAAAUUAUUAAAUAAUUUCAAUGCACUAAAUGGAUGUUGUUAAUAUAUUAAUUCGAUGUGUUAAUAACAAUAGGGUAUGAAUAAACAUUUUUAAAAUUAUUACUUUUGUAAUGAAAUAUAGGUAUGACAUAAAUGCAUUAUACUUAUAAUGCAAAUACAUUAUCAUUACAAUAUAUUAUAAUAUAAUAUAAUUUAUUUUUGUUUAAUUUUUUCACGUGCUAUAUUACCCAAUAAAUAAUUGUGAGUUAUUCAAUUUAAUAGUUGUGUGUUAGUCAAUUGAGUAUUUAUAUAUUAUUCAAUUGAUGAGAGCUCGUAAAAAAUAAUUAUUCACUCUAUUAUGGUAACAAAGUUUUUAAUUGCAUGUUUCAUAUAUAAAACGAUAUAAUAACCUUAGGAUAUGGUUUUUAUUUAUGAGAUAUUGAAAAUUAUUUUUUUUAGAAUGUUCUUUAAAAAAUCUCAAUUUUUUUUGAAAAAAAAUAAUAAUAACAAAUUUUUAAACAGUCACUUGAUUGUUUAAAAGUGAAUAGUAAUUUUUUCGGGCCUGAGAAAUGUACUAUUGAUUACCUAUACUUAUCAUCAUGUAUGGGCCCCACAUCAUUGAUAGUCUCAAAUUUAUUUAUAAAUAAUAUAGAAAACAUAUUAAAGAUAAAAAUUGUCCUCUAAAAAUCCUUGAGAUGAGUGAGCCUUUCUAGUAAUUAUUUCAUCCAGCCUAUCCUAUUGGGUAAUUUUCCCUUAUUCAAAACACUCUUAAUAGAGUAGAGGAAAGCCAAAAAAGAAAGUAUAAUUGGUUUAAGUUCACCCAUCUUGUUAGAGAGAUUGCCCAAGAGUUAGUGCGUUUGAAGAUAUAGUUCAUCCAAGUUUGAUAUAAGUGGUUUUCAUAUCUAAAAUCACCACUCCAUCGUCGGAAGUAAGCCCUCAAAAGUUAUGCCUUCCCUAACCCAUAUUUGUUGAAGAUGUGGUAAGUUUAAAAGGAAGCACAUGAAUGAAGCAUUAAUGUGAUUUUUCUAUGGAAGAAUAUAAAUAAGAUAUGGAAAUUCCUUAAUUGAUCGACCCAUAGCAACUCCAAGAUUCCAUUAUUUUGAAUCAUUUUCCAUAAUAAUUUCAGAAUCAUUUUCCAUAAUAUGUGCUGGAUUUCUUGACUAGACUUGUACCAGGAAAAUUUUGUGGUUGUUGUGAUGUGCUAAGUGGCAACUAAUUCCUCUAUACCUCUACUAAAGCUCCAAAUUUGUGGCCGUUGUGAUGUGAUAUUGUAGACCCUCAUUUUUUUGCUCUAGUUUUUUUUUAUUAUCAUUUUUGGAGCACUUUGACGGCAGCAUGUUUUAGAGUAGGGGACGACUUCUACGGUUUUCGAAGGAGCCAAGCUGCAUGGACGUGUGGCUAGGGGACAUCACCACCUUGUCAAGGUAGUGGUUGAAGAUGGUGAUAUUUGCUGAACCAAGAGUAGGGGAGUGGGUGAAGACUUACGGGAGAAGAAAAAUCGAGUGGGGUGAAGAUUUUUUGGAAGAAAAAAUCUAGAGAGUGGGUCCUUAGAUGAGCUGGGAGGAGUGAGGGUUUGCUGAUUUUUUUGGGGAAGCAAGAGGGGGGUGAGCUAGCUGUAGGGAAGAUAGGGAGCAGAGCUGGAGAAAGAAAGAAAAGUUGGAGAGAGGUUGUCUUGAAGCUUUUCCAAGUAUGGUUGCCAUGAAUCUUAUUUCUUUUCAUUAAUAUUGUGUUCCGUCUCAUUUUUUGGGUAUUUUUUCGGUUUUUAUUUGUUGUUUGGAUGUGAUUAUAAGAGAUUAUAUGUUGUUUUACUGAUCUUGGAUUGAUUGCAAACUUCACACUGGUUUGUUCUAUUGCUUUCGGUUUAAAUCUGAUGUUGAAUUUGAAUAUGGACUUACACUUGAUGCUCGAUACUUGGAAGUUUUUUUAGAGGGGUAGAAGACUUUUUUUUUUAGUGUUUCUGAAGUUUUAGUAGGAGAAAGUUGAGUUUUUGAUCAUUUUGAAGGGGCGAAUUUUUCUGGGUUUGUGAGGUUUUAGUGAGAGAAAGUCUAGUUUUGAUGUUUUUAGAGAGAGAUUUCGUGGGCCUGUGAAGAUGCAAGUGUAGGAUGGUUUUUUUUUUUUUUUUUGUGUUUGGAGAGAAGCUUUGUGGGUUUGUGCAGAGUCUUAGUGAGAGAAAAAUGUGAGAAUCAAGUGAAGUUUUAGUGAGAGAAAGUUAUCAUUUUUUUUCCAAGGAUCAGAAACUAAAAAUCAUUGAAGAGAAGAAGAAAGAAUUGUUGAUUAAAGAUAUAAACAUCAAGAAUGAACGGAGGCAACUUGCGCCUUUUGAUUUGAAGGCUUAUAUUGAUGACGAGCCUUUGAUGCCGCGCCGACCACUAAAGCUUAGUUCAUUCCGAUUUCGGAAUCUGAUGAAAAUGAGGACAUGAAGACUGGUGCUACCCAUUUUUCUUAAGAAUCAGAAUGUGAGCUAGUGAUCUGCAACAUUUGUUUAGGUGUUUUGCAAUUCAUUUAUUUUUAUCACGAAAGGAAAUGGUAUAAUGGAAAAAGAUUCUGCUAAUGAGUUGAUUGUGUCAUUUUCUAACCUAUUAAAGAAAGAAAACAAUGAGUUUGAUAACCUCCACUCAUUUUACCACCAAACCAAUUCUUUAUUUAUUUAUUUAUUUUUCUCUUUCCCACUAUUUCCUCCACUUUUCCAACCCACUUUCAUGCACAUGCAGCCCACAUUUUCAUUUUAAUUCUUCAUUUUUUUUUGUAUCAAAGUUUAAUUUUCUAAAACAAAUUUCCAUCCUCAAAUAAAUCUCCAAAAUUUGAAAUUUCUGAAAUUCCAUUCUCAAAAAUAAUUUUUCCAAGAUUCCAAUGUUCGAAAUUUAAUUUUCGAAAAUUCUAUUCCCAAAUUUACUUUUAAAAAUAAUUUCUCAAAAUUCCAUUUUUCCAAGAUUUCAAUUUUUUUAAAUUUAAUUUUCCAAAAUUCCAUUUUCAAAAUAUUUUUUCCAAGAUCCCAAUUUUUUAAAUUUAAAUUUCCAAAAUUCCACCCUCAAAUUUACUUUUUAAAAUAAUUUAUCAAAAUUCCAAUUUUCCAAGAUUCUAUUUUUUUUAAAUUUUUUUUUUUUUUGAAAUUUCUAUUCUCAAAUUUACUUUUUUAAAAUAAUUUUUCAAAACUUCCAAAAUUCCAAACUUAAUUUUUAAAAUACCAUUCUCAAACAAUCUUCCAAAAUUCCAAUUUAAAAACUCCAAUUUUUUUCGCAAAUAAUUUUCAAAACUCCAUUUCUUAAAUUUAAUUUUCAAUUCCAAUUCUCAAUUAAUUUUCAAAACUCCAAUUUCUUUCAAAUUUAACUUUUAAAAUCCCAAUUUUUAAAUUUAAUUUUUAGAACUCCCAUUUUCAAAUAUUUUUUUAAAAAUUCAAAAUUUUUUAAAUGUAAUUUUCAAGACUCCAAUUUUCAAAUAAAUUUCAAAACUCUAGUUUUCUUUCAAAUAAUUUUAAUUUCACUUCAGUUUUCAAAUAUUUUUUAAUUCUACUACUUUUUAUCCUUUAUUAGGAUUUUAUCUCAUUUUUAAUAAAUUUGCUAUAUUUUUUCAGGUAAGCACUUUCACAAUUUUUCUUUGAUUUUAAAAUAAUUUUCCAUUUUCCUUGAUUUUAAUAAGCAUGAUGACAAAUUUUAUAAUUCCAAAACAAUUGAAUUUGUGGGAUUAAUUCAUGCAAAAUCAAAUGGGCUUUGGUGGGGGCCAUACAUAUGAGUUUUUCUCUUCUAAUUGUCGACUGUUAUGCUUAAUGAAUAUUGUUUGAUUUUUGUCUUGCUCUUUGAUAUGCAUGUGAUAAUUUUAUACUUGAGCUAACCUUGUUUUCAUGAUAACACACUAUUACUUGCUGCCAAGGUACGCUCUCACUCCCACUUUGCUUAUUAUCAUACAUGAUUCGUUUUAUUAUUUUAUCAUUUCACCGGUAUCCAUUGAUUUUUUUAUCAAUUGUUACACUUGCUUCACCUUAUUUAGUAGAGACCUUAUUAUAGGGCUUAGAGGGGCGCUAUGACUCACUACUGUACCUUCCCAAUAGGUAAUCUGACCCCCGGACCAACUUUGGUUUUUCACGGACCUGUUUUCUUUCAGGAGUCACGCCUAGGGUUUUUUUUCUUAUUUUAUUUUUUUCCUUUAAAAAUAAAACAAAAAUAAGUGGCGACUCCAAGUCUUUUCCAAAAAAUCAAAUUUUCACCAAAUAAAUAAAAAAAGCUAGUCACGCCAUCGAGUGGGAAUGCAUUGAGCAAAAUACGGGGUCCACAGAUAUCUAUCUCCUCUACUAGGCCUCCAAUUAGCUAGCAUCCACUUAUGCCCAAUGCAAAUUUCACAUUAUAAGUUAGGUGCAACAUCCCAAGUCAUAAGUGCUAAAUUUCUUGACCUGAUUUGUACAAAGAAAAAAUGUAUAUAUAUUUUUUAGGUAUGUGCCAAAAAGGUAUUGAUUAAUACUCAAAAUUGAUGUUUUUUGGUAUAUAAAAUAGGUUUUGAAAUCAUUUUUGAGUGCAAAUCAUUGUCUUUUUAGUUAAAAUAUUUGUUAAGUCUCCAUUGAUGACUAAUAUUUACAUCUAGUGAAAAAUACAGUAAAAGAAGAUAUCAUGUACAUAAAUACGAGUGCAUGACAACCUUAAGAUCCAAGGUUGAUGGAAACAAAGUAGAACAGUUCAAUGUAUGAGAAGAGAUAAAGAAAGUAAUAAAAAAGAAAUUUUGAUAUAUGAGAGUGGAUCUAACACCAUUUCCAUACAAAGGAGUAGAGUAACUCCAAAUACACUGAGUUUGGGGUGUUAUAUAUCAAAAUAAAAUUUGAUAUUGGGCAAUACAUCAAUUUAAUACUAGAAACUCUUUGUGAUACCAUUGUAAAAUGGAGCCUCUUAGUCUUAUCUAUUAAAAUGCAAUUCGAUAUCUUUCAAUACUGUUUUGAUACAAUAGUAAAGUAGAGUCUCUUGGUCCUAUAUCAAAAUAUAUUUCGAUACCAUAGUGGAGAUGUCAAAAUCACCCAUUGUAGCUACCCAAAAAUCCAAUGAGCUUAGGAGAUUAUUGAAAUGGAUUUUGAUAUCAUUUUGAUAUUUGAUACCAUGUCGAUACAAUGGAAGUAUAGAAAUUACCUAGUAGAAGCGAGAUAUAGAAAGUUAAAAAGAUUAUCAGAAUAAAUUUCAAUACCAUUUGAAUAUAACUAUAAAAUGGAAGUUCUCAACCUCAUAUAUUGAAAUGCGAUUCGAUACAUUGUGAUAUCAUUUUGAUACCAUAUUAGAAGCACAUCAUAAUUAAGGUUUAGGUAUUUGUUGAAAUCCAUUUCGACACCACUGAGGAGAUAUUGAAAUAUUUGAUGCCUAUUGCAAACUUCUAGAACUUCACUCUAAGCCCUAGGCGUUUUUUUUUUUCAUUGAAAUCAUUAAUAAAGAGUAAGAAGUAAUUGUUUUUAUUGAAAGAAUUUAGAUAAAUCGAUCAACACGUGUCAUAUGAAUUUUGAAAGUUUCUUUAAUAUUGUAGUUGCUUCUUUUGGAGAACUUUUCCAAAAAUACCUUCCAAAAAUUAAUAUAGGUGAUCGUAAUUUCCUAUCUUGGUACAUAGUUUAUAGUUCAAGUCACUUAUUAUUUUUUUCCUUAUAAAAAACCCCAAAAAUGUUGAUAAUGGCCUAUUUAUUCAUGUUUUCUUAAAAUUGUUUUAAAAAUUAUUUUUAAGUUAAAAAAAUAAAAUUUUCUAUUUUCUAAAACCAAUGGUGUUUGGCAAGUGGUUUUCAAAAAUACUUGGACCAAUCGGCUCUAAUAGACACUUACAAUAUUUCUCAAAAGAUGUCUUACUCUUACACUCCCUAUACUUGAGAAACCUUAAGUAAUAUCUUACACUUAGAUUUUUUUUUUCCCUCAAAUAAUAGCCCAUAUUUGAGCUUAUCUCACAAGAUUUACAAGAAAUAUGUUUCUCAAUAAAUAUUCCUACUUCACAAAUUUUUACUAAAAAAUAUAAGGAAACUAGGAUUAAGAGGUGCACUAAGAAUUGAAUAUAAGUUUUAACUUAAAUACAUAGAAGAUGAUGGUUGGAGAUGGGUUAGGUGAAAAAAAGAAAAGGAAAAAAAAAAGAAGAGGAAAUAGGAAGUACCAGAAAAAGGAAGGAAUAGGAAAAAAAAAAUGGGGAAGGGGAGGUGGUCUGGUCACUGGUGGUGCACUUGAGUGGGAGAAAAUGAGGAGAAUUAAAAAAAAAUGGUAAAAUGAAGUAAGAAAAAAAGGAAAAGAAAAAUAAAGAAAAAGAAACAAAAAAUAAAUAGAUAAAUAAAUAAAAUAAAUGCUAGGUUUCAAAGCGUGUGAAUGGACCAAAAAAUUUAUGUAAAAAAAUAUUUUGGACAAGUUCUAAGGUCUACAAUAAUUAUAUGAAAAUGAAAAACAACGAAACCAUUUUAUAAACCAAUUUUAAUUCAUAAAUUUUAUUGGCAAAUGAGAUUUUUUUUUAGUUCUAAAUUAUUUUUAAAUUAAUCGUCUCAUUAAAAAAUCUAACACUUGAAGUUUUGCAUGACUUUUUAAUCUAUUUGUUCAUUGAGCUGAAAUCCUGGAUAUUUUGUCGGUAAGACCAGCCAUCGCUCCUCCUUCGCGGAAAAAAAAAGGGAGAAUUAUCCAAAAGGGUGGGUUAGAAAAACUAAUGACUAUGAAGGCUCACUCUUUUAGAGGACAAUUUUACCUUUUAAUAUGUUUUUUAUAUUAUUUAUAAAUAAAUUGAGAUUGUCAAUGAUGUGGGAUCCAUACAUGAUGAUAAGUACAAGUUAAUAAAUGAUGUGGAACCUAUACAUGAUGAUAAGUACAUGUUGAUAGGCAAUCAAUGGUACAUUUUUCAACUUGAAAAAAUUGUUAUCACUUUUGAACAAUUAACUAUUUAAAAAUUUGUUAUUUUUUUUUCAAAUUGAGAUUUUUUAAAGAACCUUAUAAAAAAAAAUUUUAAUAUCUCAUAAAUAAAAACCAUAUCCUAAAAUUAUUAUAUCGUUUUAUAUAUAAAACAUACAAUUAAAAACUUUGUUAUCAUAAUAUAAUAAAUAAUUAUUUUUUUACGAGCACUCAUCAAUUGAAUAAUAUAUAAAUAUUCAAUUGAUUAACACACACCUAUUAAAUGGAAUAACUCACAAUUAUUCAUUGGGUAAUAUAGCACAUGAAAAAAUUAAAUAAAAAUAAAUUAAAUUAUUUUAUAAUAUAUUGUAAUGAUAGUGUAUUUAUAUUGUAAGUAUAAUGCAUUUAUGUUGUACCUAUAUUUCAUUAUAAAAGUAAUAAUUUUAAAAAUGUUUAUUCAUACCCUAUUGGUAUUAACACAUCGUAUUAAUAUAUUAACAACAUUUAUUUAGUGUUUUGAAAUUAUUUAAUAAUUUUUGUAUAUAUAUAUAUAAACUACGUGAAUUCAAAUUAGUAUUUCAUUUGAUUUCAGAAAUUAUUUAUGAUAUAGGUAUGUUGUGAAAUAUUGUAUGAUCAUACAAAAUUACCAUUUUUAUAAAAAAAUUCAUAAAUUUCUUAAUUAGGUUUUAUUGUAAUGUAAGUGUAUUUAUAUUGUAAUUAUAAUAUAUUUUUGUUGUACUUGUAUUGUAUAAUAAAAGUAAUAAUCUUAAGGAUCACCUUUUAUACCUUAUUAAUAUUCAACAUAUCAAAUAUAUUAACAUCAUCUACUCGAUGCAUUGAGAAAAAAAAAUUAUAUGAAAAUUAAAAAAAAAAAAAACACUAUGCAAAGGAAAAAAAAUCAUAUAAAUUUUUUUAAAUUAUUUUAUUAUAAAAAUAAAAAUGAUUAAACAUUUUCUAUCAUUUUCUUAUUAUUUUUAGAUAAUCUGAAUGAAAAAUUAAAAAUUUUAUCUUCCUUAAAUUUAAUACAAAAACAUAAUUUAUCAAUUUAAAAUUAUAAUAUAUAUAUGUAUAUAUAUGAAAAAAUCAUCAUUUUUAUUAUAUAAUUAUAAAACUUAUUUUUUUCUUCAUAAAAUUGAAAAUUAGAAUAAAAAUAAAAAAGGUAAAAAAACAAUAAAUGAUAUUUUGAAAAUAAUUUUUAAAAGUAUUUUUGUUUUAAAUAGUAAAUUUAAGUAACAAAUUAUAUAUAAUUGUAAGAGUUAAAUCCAAAAUUUUGAUUUAAAAUUUAAAUAUCAAUAAUUACAAUAAAUGUGGGACCCAUGUACCAUAAAUGUAUUGACAAAUCAAGUGAAGUGUUUUAAAUGCUUUGAAUUUUAAAAGUUUUAAUUAAAGGGCAGUUUUGGUAUAUUAAGCUUACUAAAGUCCUCCCCAAUAAUUAUUAAAAUAUACCACCCUUUCUAGUAAUUGUUUUGCCCAACCUACCUUUUUGGGUAAUUCUCCAAAAAAAAAAAAGUACAUGAUAUACAAUGUGGAUUUGAGUCAGCUUUUAAAAAGAUUUGAUAGUUUUAAUAUCAUAUCAGAGUUUUGUUUGGUGGGAGGUCUUAGGUGCAAGCAACAUUGUAAUCCUAUUCUUGCUCUUGAAAAAUCCUACAUUCCUUAAUGACUAGUAGAACUUUUCUCCCACUCAAGAUCAACUCCUUAACCCCAAUUGGUUCUGAUUGCUUAGCACUAUAUGAACAUGUCAUGCAAUAAGGGAUGACUCAAACUUGGGCUAGAAAGGGCCACGUCGAAGUACUUCAAAAUCACAUGUUUUCGUGAUUUUGGGGAGCAUUUCAAGUUUUUAUCACAUGGCUGCAAUUAUGAUUUCGUGACGGAAAAGAAAACGUUGAAUAGCACGUGUACAUCCAAGUGGACCAGAUGCAUGCCGUAGUUUGGAAUCAUUUUGCAGAAGGAAUACAAACCAAAGGAUUUUCUUGUCUAAAGAACUUGCUUAGGCAGUGGAAACGGAAAUGACUUGCAGGUAAAUUUAUUCAUUAAGAUUGCACUGAGGCCAUGAGUAUCUCCAAUGGGAUGCAAAAGAGGAUGCUGUUCUUGUAGGAAGAGUGUAAAUUUCACUACAUCAAAGCGUAUCUCCAAUAGGCUGAGGCAAAAAUUUCACUCAUUUAUUUUUUGAGUGUUUCUGUAUGGUAGAUUCUCAAGGAGCAAGGACUUCAUAUGCUCCUCAAGGCCAGGAAGGCACUGUUGGUCAUCAUAACUAUACAUCAAAGGGACCAUUCUUGCAAUAUUGAGGGAGCCUUUUGUAAAAGAAGUUGAAAUUGGAUUUGGAGAGAGGCAUUCCUUGUUGAGGCGCUUCCACAUAUCUGAAAUCAUAUGGGCUACGAUUUAUCUUGCAUUUUCAACUGAAGAGCCUCGGUGUUCCUUCAAGUAGCACUCUACAUAGGACCCAUCAUGCCCGUCUUGAUUCUCAUCCUGUCAAUUUAUUCAACUUAGGGUGGUUCUCUGAAACCAAACAUUAUGACAUACCACUUCAAAACAUCAAUUAGGCCAACACUACAUUUAACUUUUAAGGCCACCUCAAAAUAACUUUUUAUAAACCAAACAUGAAAAAUUGUAGACGGAUUAAUUAACAACCUGCAUGUGGUUGGCAUUUACCUUGCCGCUUCCGAGGUCAUCCCAAAGACGAAGAAUUGUUGCUGUAGAAGAUAUAAUGCCUGGAAAGUCAUCCACAAGAUCUACAUUUUCCUUGGUUAUGCCAUGACCCAAUAGAAAAAACAAGUGAACUAGCACCACAUGUACCCCUGAACUAACGGCCCCAUUCUUCAAGUACUCCUCAGCCUUUGGCACAUGCCCAGAAGCAAACCAUUUUGCCUCUACUAGAAAUGCGUUGCAUAAACUCGCCCACUGCAGCAAUGGGGGAUCUGUUAAGCGUGCUACAUUUGUAAUCCCACUGAAACCCAUACAAAAAUGUUUUGAAUAUUACCGCCUUCCGUAGAGAGCCUACUGGGUUCCACUUAUGCUCCUUGUGGACCUUGGUACUGAUCUCAUUCGUGAUGUCAUCAAGAGUCUUGAAACACAUCUUCAUGUACUCUGGAAGCUCUUUGAAAGCAGACAAAUCCCAUCUAUAUACAAUAAUUAAUGACACAAAUUAGUGGAACUAUGUGUAUAUAUAUACACACACAUAUAUAUACACACACACACACGCCCAUUAGCGAAUCAAUGAAUUAAUUCCAUAGUCCAUUUCUACCUAUUAACAGCUUCUGUGAACAGAGUGAGUUCAUCAAGGGUUCCACCAACAUCAAAAAUGUCAUCUAUUAUGUAGAUUAGAGAGAUAGGUUUUGUGAGCUCAAUCCUUUGCUCUGACAACCUUGGAUCUGGGAUGAUUGCCAUUGGCCACAUGUACCAUUUCAGUGGUUGAUCUCUUGCAAACUUCAACUCCUCGGUCAAACCUAGGUCCUUCCACCAUCUAAUAAUUAAUAUGGCAAAUAUUAGUUAGAGAUCAAAGUGUCUUAAGAAUAUAUAACAAGAAAGUAAAUAUAAUCACAAUGCAAUUUUUCAAACAGACUUGGAAAUUUGAAGCAUCUCCUUUUGAUGCACGGAUUUAACCGUAUUGAAAUCUAUUUUUGCUAAUUCUUGAAAUGCAUUUAUCCAUCCAUUUGUGCCCUGGAAAUCAGUAAGGAAGUUUUUGGUCAUGAACCGUGCCAAGCUCUUGUGGUGGGGAUGCUCCAAUGUAUUCUUAACAACUGCAGCUUGAUGACGAUCAAGAUGUUGCAAACAUGCAUUAAGGAGUAGACUGCUGAAAUUUCCGGCUUCCUCAAGUAUAUCUUCUCCUAUACUUAGCUGAGAAGCUUCAUACAAACCCAUCAAUCCUCUGAUGUCUUCGCGUAGGUUUUGUUUAAACUUCCCCUCCUUGUUCUUGAAGUUAUUCAACACAUCUAUCCAUGAACAUUAACCAGUAAAUUCACUUUCAGAAACAAACGACUCUUGAUAAAUGUCGGUAAGAUUAAUUAAAAAAGAAAAAAGAAAUAAAAAGAAAAAGAAACCACCUGCGGGCAGAGUGUAACCUCAUAAAGAUCCUCAUCACAAUCACCAUGAAUGCUAGAUUUCAUAUACUGCUUCUGCAGAACUGCUUCAAUCUCCUCUUCGAAGUGAUGAUCAAUGCCUAGGCGUUGUAUGGCAUCAAUCAUCAUCAUGCUUUCCAUUGCAUCUUCUCCUAGUUUGCUGAAUACAUGCUUAACUUCCUUUAACUUUUGUGCAUGUUCAUUGUAGAACUCAUCCUGUAAAGUUAGGAAAUUAGAAAGUUAGAAAAUGCAUGGCAUAAUAAGAACUAUAAAAUAAAUGGAAAGCAGUAAGGCAAUCUUAACAGUAAAACUGCCAAAGUUCAGGUGNNNNNNNNNNNNNNNNNNNNNNNNNNNNNNNNNNNNNNNNNNNNNNNNNNNNNNNNNNNNNNNNNNNNNNNNNNNNNNNNNNNNNNNNNNNNNNNNNNNNCUUCCUCAAGUAUAUCUUCUCCUAUACUUAGCUGAGAAGCUUCAUACAAACCCAUCAAUCCUCUGAUGUCUUCGCGUAGGUUUUGUUUAAACUUCCCCUCCUUGUUCUUGAAGUUAUUCAACACAUCUAUCCAUGCACAUUAACCAGUAAAUUCACUUUCAGAAACAAACGACUCUUGAUAAAUGUCGGUAAGGUUAAUUAAAAAAGAAAAAAGAAAUAAAAAGAAAAAGAAACCACCUGCGGGGACAGUGUAACCUUCUUGUCUCAAUAGGCGAAAGCGGAGUGCAACCUCAUAAAGAUCCUCAUCACAAUCACCAUGAAUGCUAGAUUUCAUAUACUGCUUCUGCAGAACUGCUUCAAUCUCCUCUUCGAAGUGAUGAUCAAUGCCUAGGCGUUGUAUGGCAUCAAUCAUCAUCAUGCUUUCCAUCGCAUCUUCUCCUAGUUUGCUGAAUACAUGCUUAACUUCCUUUAACUUUUGUGCAUGUUCAUUGUAGAACUCAUCCUGUAAAGUUAGGAAAUUAGAAAGUUAGAAAAUGCAUGGCAUAAUAAGAACUAUAAAAUAAUGGAGAGCAGUAAGGCAAUCUUAACAGUAAAACUGCCAAGUUCAGGUGAAUGGUUAUCUUUCUUUAAGGGGAUAGAAACCAAGGUGUGAUCGUGGGCAAUACUCCAUUUGUGCGUAUUAGGCAUAGGCACAAUUCUGGUGAAGUUAGUCUUGCCUAUUUCUCUGAAUUCGUUUGGGCCAACUGCAGGAA